GCCUCCUUGGCUCAGUUGGCUAGAGCGCGAGUCUCAUACUUACGGUAUGAGAGUGAUUAGUCAUCUGGCAAUCUCGAGGUCGCAAGUUCGAGCCUUGCAGGGGGGCA
This is a non-coding RNA of Desarmillaria tabescens, 107 nucleotides long. The record is from the annotation of a RefSeq genome assembly. NCBI's taxonomy places the organism in Eukaryota, Fungi, Basidiomycota, Agaricomycetes, Agaricales, Physalacriaceae.